CUACGUGCCAGCAGCCGCGGUAAUACGUAGGUGGCAAGCGUUGUCCGGAUUUAUUGGGCGUAAAGCGAGCGCAGGCGGUCAAUUAAGUCUGAUGUGAAAGCCCCCGGCUCAACCGGGGAGGGUCAUUGGAAACUGGUUGACUUGAGUGCAGAAGAGGAGAGUGGAAUUCCAUGUGUAGCGGUGAAAUGCGUAGAUAUAUGGAGGAACACCAGUGGCGAAGGCGACUCUCUGGUCUGUAACUGACGCUGAGGCUCGAAAGCGUGGGUAGCAAACAGGAUUAGAUACCCUGGUAGUCCACGCCGUAAACGAUGAGUGCUAAGUGUUGGAGGGUUUCCGGGGUUUAGUGCCGCAGCUAACGCAUUAAGCACUCCGCCUGGGGAGUACGACCGCAAGGUUGAAACUCAAAGGAAUUGACGGGGGCCCGCACAAGCGGUGGAGCAUGUGGUUUAAUUCGAAGCAACGCGAAGAACCUUACCAGGUCUUGAC
Molecule: ribosomal RNA, 486 nt
Filed under: uncultured bacterium
Lineage: Bacteria
Description: bacterial SSU rRNA
Rfam family: Bacterial small subunit ribosomal RNA
Source: RNAcentral